RNAcentral lists this ribosomal RNA (253 nucleotides) under uncultured bacterium. Its description in RNAcentral is "partial 16S ribosomal RNA". It matches the Rfam family "Bacterial small subunit ribosomal RNA", at positions 524 to 776 of the family's 1533-position model. The record is from RNAcentral.
UACGGGGGGGGCAAGCGUUGUUCGGAAUUACUGGGCGUAAAGGGCUCGUAGGCGGCCAACUAAGUCGGAUGUGAAAUCCCCAAGCUUAACUUGGGAACUGCAUCCGAUACUGGAUGGCUUGAAUCCGGGAGAGGGAUGCAGAAUUCCAGGUGUAGCGGUGAAAUGCGUAGAUAUCUGGAGGAAUACCGGUGGCGAAGGCGACUUCCUGGCCUGUUCUUGACGCUGAGGCGCGAAAGCUAGGGGAGCAAACGGG